GAUGAACGCUAGCGGCAGGCCUAAUACAUGCAAGCCGAACGGCAAGAACUUUAGCAAUAGAGUUCCUAGAGUGGCGUAAGGGUGCGUAACACGUAUGCAAUCUGCCCUCAACAGGAGGAUAGCUCCCCGAAAGGGGAAUUAAGACUCCAUAAGAUCAUUUUAUGGCAUCAUGAGAUGAUUAAACUACCAGGGGUUGAGGAUGAGCAUGCGCAUGAUUAGUUAGUUGGCGGGGUAACGGCCCACCAAGACGAUGAUCAUUAGGGGAACUGAGA
This 272-nucleotide ribosomal RNA is filed under the name uncultured bacterium. RNAcentral describes it as "partial 16S ribosomal RNA". It matches the Rfam family "Bacterial small subunit ribosomal RNA", at positions 28 to 297 of the family's 1533-position model. The record is from RNAcentral.